UACGAAGGGGGCUAGCGUUGCUCGGAUUGACUGGGCGUAAAGGGCGCGUAGGCGGUUCGUACAGUCAGACGUGAAAUUCCUUGGCUCAACCUGGGGGCUGCGUUUGAUACGUGCGGACUUGAGUGCGGAAGAGGGUCGUGGAAUUCCCAGUGUAGAGGUGAAAUUCGUAGAUAUUGGGAAGAACACCGGUGGCGAAGGCGGCGACCUGGUCCAAUACUGACGCUGAGGCGCGAAAGCGUGGGGAGCAAACAGG
This 253-nucleotide ribosomal RNA is filed under the name uncultured bacterium. RNAcentral describes it as "partial 16S ribosomal RNA". It matches the Rfam family "Bacterial small subunit ribosomal RNA", at positions 524 to 776 of the family's 1533-position model. The record is from RNAcentral.